RNAcentral lists this long non-coding RNA (29989 nucleotides) under Arabidopsis lyrata. RNAcentral describes it as "long non-coding RNA (ALYR_LNC002835)". The record is from RNAcentral. Lineage: Eukaryota; Viridiplantae; Streptophyta; Magnoliopsida; Brassicales; Brassicaceae.
GUUCUCUAUAUGUUAAAUCCGGUGUUGGUGGUGAAGAUCUUGCUUUGAUGUGACGAUGGAAUUUCCCGGCGAGUCUUCACGGCUUGUUCAGCAGUCCUUUCUCAUCUCCGGUUCGUUUUCAUUGUCUCGCUUGGCUGGAGUCUCUCUUGGGUUUGUUUUAGUUGUUUAGUCGUGGUUAAUUUAGGAUGGUUUCAAUCUCUGGCUUGCUCUUCAUUUGAGAAGCAGUUGCUUUGUUGGCCCUUUCUCGUCGGAUCGUGUGUACGUCUUAGACGUAUGGUCCAGAUUUUGUGGCUCACAAUCUCUGGUUCUUUGCUUUUGGUGAUAGCCCGUUUUGAUGGCAUGGUUUUGGUUGGAUCUCUAGUUCUCCUUGGAUUUGUUGAUUCUUACUCUCCCUCUCUUCGGUGGUCUUUAUUGUGAGCUCCCCGAUUCGAUCUGUUGCCUUUCUUGUUUGGAGUUUGGUGUCAUCGGUUUGGAUUUUUGUCUCUACACUCAAGACCUGAUCGAGGUCUGGUCAAAUCAAAGACUUUUAUCGAGGCGUCAAAUUGUAGUAGGUUUCUACAUCGCCGCUUCCGGAAGAUUUGCGAGUCUUCUUGUGAUUUGCUUUCGUCUUGCCGGAUAUGAAGUCUAGGAUUAUUUUAUUUGGGAGGUACUCUGGCUUCAUUAUAGGAGGUUUCGUUAGCUGCUAACGGAUUAUGUUCAUCCACUGUGGUUGGCUUUUGUUCAUCUAGGAGUAAGGGAGAUCUUUUGGCAGUCUUUUUCGUUUGAGAUCUUAGUUCCAGCUGCUGUGUUUCAUUUCGCUUUUUGUGGAUUGUAAUUUCAUCGUUUUCAAAUGUUUCCCUGUAACUUAGGGCUUCUGUUUUCCUCUUUUGGGCUAUGACUCUGGGGAUAUCUCGUUUUUCCGCCGGCUUAGUUUCUGGGGGUUAAAGUCCCGCCAGUCUUUGUAUUCCAAGAACGUAUUUCACCCGUGAUAUAUAAAUAAUCUUUCAGACGAAAAAAAAAAAAGAUAGAAUUAGAAGUAGGAUUGUAGCCUUGUUGGAAGUUGAUAGAUGGGUGAUGACUGAAAAAAUAUCUCUCAUAAGCUCAUCUUCCACUAUUAUUUAAGACUAUAUGACUAUAUCUAUAUACGUAUAUAAACACAUAUGUCUUCAGUUUCGGGUUUAUAGGUACCCAUUUAUGGGUAACGGAUAAUCCCCGAUCCGAACCGAUAUUCACAGGUUGACCAAUACUCUAUCCAAUAAGGUAAUUUCCGAAUACUCUAAUCCAACCCGAUUUUUUCGGUUCGAAUAUCAGUUCGGGUAUCGGAUCCGGUUUUUUUUGUCCAUGCCCAGUGAAAAUCAUGUUGACCCCAACAGUAUCUGCUUCGACGUCACCUCUCACCUUAUUCCUUCGAUUCCCCCCAUUUUCACUUUUCUUAUAUUUUCUCCAUCUCUGUCUCUUUGCUUGCUUCCUAUACACAGUUCUUCUCUGUUCCUCUAAUCGGAAGUAUGUAUAUUGAUUCUUAUUCUUCGAUCUUCUUUUUAUGAUUUGGUUCACCUCAAUUGCAUUAGAUGGAAGAGAAAUACUCGAAAUCUCGUCUUAAAUUAUAUAUGUUCUACUGAUGAUCAUCUUGUUUGAUUGCUUCCUUGAUUAAAGUAUUGAUUUUUAUCUUUGUUUCUUGUUAGGGUUUGAAUCUUUUCGUCAAUUUUCUAUCUGGGUUUUGUGCCAGUCGAAGGAAUAAGUGAAUCGUCGUCUUGGGUUUUCUCAAUUAAGAAUAAAGUUUCCUCCUUUUAGGGUUUUUGAAUUUACUUAUCGAAUUUGAUUAUAGUGUUGGGUGAUGGAUGAUUCUUGGAGCUACGGGAGAAGCGUUUUCAUGUCAAAUGAAACUCUUUUACCUUUUGAUUCUUUUGCUGAGAAUAGAAGAUUUGAACAUAGAUUCUCUAAUGAAUUGAGGAAUGAUAAUGAUGAUGUGUUGAUUUCUGACAUGGCUGGUAACUCCAAUGGAUUCAGUGCUGUUUCUAUUACCAAAGUGGUUCCUGAAGAGGAAGAGGAAGAGAACCAAUCUUCUUCUUCAAAGUUGUCUAGUCACGAAUUGAAUAGGAUAGAUUUCAAACUUAGGAGCAUUUUGGAUUUAGGAAAUGAUGAUGAUACAUCCUCUAGAGGUUUUGCUCUGCCAGCUAAAAAGUCUCGAGCUUCAAACCUUUGCUCUCAGAAUCCCUUGUGUCAAGUGUAUGGGUGUAAUAUGGAUCUGAGCUCUUCGAAAGAUUACCACAAAAGGCAUAGAGUUUGCGAGGCUCAUUCUAAAACUUCCGUGGUCGUAGUUAAUGGUCUUGAACAGAGGUUUUGUCAACAGUGCAGCAGGUUUCUUCUUUCUCCUCUCAAGUUGUCGUUUUAACUAACAUAUCAUGCUUGAUGGAUCUUGAUUGUUUGUUUCUUUUACCUUUUUCUUCUGUUCAGGUUUCAUUUCCUCUCAGAGUUUGAUGAUGGCAAAAGAAGUUGCAGAAGGCGAUUAGCUGGUCACAAUGAACGAAGAAGAAAACCUGCAUUCUAUUUCCUACCGGGUAAGCGCCAUAAGCUUCUUCGCACCUCUCAAGGUACUCAGUCUCUGUCUUUUCGCUAUCCAUUGAUGUAUUGAAUUAGCAAACUUGUGCAAGUUUGAAUCCAUUCUGUGUGUAAAUAGGUGUAGUAGGCAACAAGUUUCUGGAGAAUCCAUCGUUGGUAUUGCCAGAGUCAUUUCCUGGUAGUCUCUUAUACAGAGUAAUAGAUGACGACGACCACCGUGCAAGUAGACUCGUGAGUUUCAAAGAUGAACCUACUUGCUCUAUGUUUCCUGCUAUUGGGCAAAACAGCAGCAGAACUUAUGAAUCUAAACCAGCGAUUUAUUCAGCGGAAGUAUCCUCUAUUUGGGACUUACAUGAGACGGCGGUUUCACGCUCUACUUGUGCUCUCUCUCUUCUGUCAGCUCAGUCCCAACAACACUUGUCUCAAAUUCCAAACACAACAUUCUCAAUCACCCAACCAAACCAAAAUCCCAAUCACCCAUCACAAGUAGACUAUCAUGAAAUGGAACCGUUAUGGAUCGAUCCUGGCAAGACCAAUUCUGCUGGUUCUAGUUCAUGUAAAGGAAAAGGACCAUCCACGGUUGAUCUACUGCAACUGUCAUCACAUCUUCAAAGAAUCGAGCAACAGAGGAAUUACACUGGUGAUGUGAAGCAGGAAUAUAACGAGCUUUAUUUCCCUGGCUCUUAAAAAAAGGUUACAACAUUCUUAUUCCUUAAAACCGGUUCGAGCUUCUUGAGAUUUUCUGCACUAUAGGACAAGACAAGCCUGCGUGGUUUGAUUAGUUUAUUAAUUUGGGUGUGGUAAUUAUUAGAUUGGUGAAAUAGAUAGAGGAAUGAAGAAGAUCAAAUCAUGUUACAGGUAUUAUUGUAAUUUGUAACUGUUGUGUUGUUAUUCAUCAGUCAAUAAUGUUCUGAAGAAAAUUGCUUCAGAUAUCUAUGCCUGUUUCUUUUACACAGCGUUUCAGUCUCUUUUUUUUUCCGGACAAUUUGUAUAUAUAAUUGUAGUGAAUAUUCGCUGAAAAAGUGAAUUUUCACUUUUGUUUUGUUUUGUUCUGUACACUCACGUCAUCUGAGAUUCUCGAAUUCGAAGUUAGGAUGUUGAAAGUUGCAAGCUAAGUCCUUGGAAAAAUAUUAUGUCCUAGAUGGAAGAGGAAUAAGCAGAUAAAUUUUUGAUAGGAUUAAGACAAAUAAAGACCAGACAUAAACGUCCAAAGGGACAUAGCAAGUGACGUUACUUUCAAAUCUAAAGACAGACAGAAAUAUAAAGUCAUAGAAACUAAGGCAACAUCAUUUUCUGCAACAUGACAUACAUAAGGAAAAUUACAUGAACAACACAAGAUGAGAAAAACGACGCAGCCACUCGCACACGUGCAUGCGUUUGUUAUUUUUGGCUUCUUUUCCCCUGAGAUUUUUUUUUUCACUUCUUCUCACCGAACCCCAAGCCCUAAUUGAACAAAACAUUUGAAUUUUAAGUCUGUAUAUAAUAUUGUAUAUAAAUGUCCUUAUCCAGACUGAGUUUGUAUAGCGUACAUGGAUCAUGUUGUGGCCUCCGGAAGUAAUGGAAGUAGGAGAGUUGGGUAUGUACUUAGCCCACUGUUUGUGACAUUUUUCAAUUACACAAACGAAAUUGUGAAAAAAAUAUUUAUUAAUGAAAAAAAUGGUUGGUAACAAAAAAAAACUUGUCGUCUUACAUUUUUGGCAGCAGCACUGAAAGCUUCACGGUGUGGUAUUUCCGGAUUAGCACUUUUGAUUCGUUGGAUCUCAUCCCUUUUUAUAUUUUUCAAAACCAAAAAAGAUGAAGAAGAGUAAUUUUAUAUAUAAUUAAUGUUUAUGCAUUAAAUUUCAUAAUUUGGAAAUGAAGAAUAUAUAUAUGUCAAAGGUUAAAACCUCAUGAAGCGGUUGUAUGCAGAUGGAAGUCUCUGCUUCUUCUCAGGAGCUACAAUACAAAAAGAUGUUCAACAAAUUAUCAUUUAUUAUGUAGAUAGUGAUUAAAUUUAUAGAAGAAAAAAGAGUCAGAAAUGGUAAUAAGCUUAAUUACGUUUAACGACAAAGGGUGGUGUGGGGGAUGGUGGCUGGUCGCUGGAGGUAGAGGAAGAGGAAGAAGAAGAGCUUCCCUUCUUAUACUCACUCCCACCAAAGCUCUGCAUCUGCUUAAUUAAGAAAAUUACGAUAGGCUUAGUAUCACAUUUUUUAUUUAUAAAGAAUUAUACUCAUAUGUAUAACUAUAAAGCAAGUGUUAUAUACCUGAAGGGUGAGGCUGACAUGGCCUUGGAGAGGAGGAGUUGUGGUCAGAAACGAGAGGUUACCGCAAUGUCCGCAUUUCACUGUCACAGUGUCAAGCAUUCUCUUCAAUGGUAUCCCAACCUAUAUAUGUAUGUAGAUUAGGUUUACAAUUAGUUCAAAAUUUUGAAGAAAAUUUCACAACAUAAACAACAAUAUAUAGAUUCGCAUGCAUGACAUAUUAUCUACAUAAAUAUAUAAGGGUCAUGCACGUAUAUAUGCUUAGCCAUCUUCUGAUUUGUGUGGGUCACUUACCGCGAGGAUGGUGUUGCAGAUGCUACACCGGACGUAGUAGAGAUGUUCGGUUUGAGGGGAAGCCCUUGAAGCUGCCAUGGUUGGUUUCUCUUCAAGGUUCAUGAUCUUUAGCGAAUGGAUUGAAAACCGCUCUUGAAAGAAAGAGAGAGAUAAAGAAUCAGAAGAACUUUGUAGAGUUAGGGUUAUGGUUAUUUUAUGAGUUAGAAGGCUUGUAUUUAUAGAACAAACAUAGUGAGACCAUGAGAUGUAUAGAGAGAGGGAAAGAUUGUCCAAGUGUUGGACGUAUAUGCAGUCCAUAAUUUCAUUUUUAUAAUUUAUUUUAACAACAAUUAAUAUAUAUCUUAUCAAAAAAAAAAACCAAUUAAUAUCUUUUUUUCUUUUUUUUUACCAAUUAAUAUCUUAAACAAAUGACUUGAGGUGUAGACACGAAUUUUGGAGUGUGACAUUAUAAUUUAUGUGUUUUCUAGGGAUAUCUUACUUACUAUUCUAUUUUGUAACCACUGCAAUAAAUGUUUUAACAGAUAAAACAAUUUGGAACAACAAGUUUAAUUUAAAAAAAAAAAAAGUUUAAUUUGACGAUUAAUCUACGUUUCCGCAUGAUUCGGUAAGAUAAAUAAAUUAUACUAAUAUAUUAUUAACUGACUUUUAAAAAAGAUACGCAGAAUUUAAUGUAAAAACAAACUUUUAACAAAUUAAUUUUAUGUCAAAUCAUAUAUAUGAAUUAAAUUAAAGGGACCGGAUCUAGGGCUUUAUGACUUUUAUCUGUGUUGCUACUAUUGCGGAUGAUAGUACAUACUCCCUCUGCAAAAUCUUGCAGACGUAUUUAAUUUUGCUUCAAAAAUAUCAAGACUCUAAAUGUCACUCCUCGUACAUUAGUUUUUGCUAUAAUAAGCUGUGCUGAAGAUUAUUCAAUCAUGUUUUUCGUAUAAAUAUGAUUAUUUUUUAGUUAACACUAUACCUUAAUUAAUCAUGUGUUAUGUGUAAAUAACUCAUAAGUACUAGUCCAAAAUUAACUCAAGAUCAGAAUGAAAACAAACAAUCCAAUACUUUCCUAUACAUCAAUAUUUUCAAAAUAAGCAGAUAUACAUGGUGUAAGAUAUAUAUUCAUGACCAUUGGUUUAAGAUCGAUGUAUAUAUAUUUUCACUUUAUAUUCACCAGCUUCAACAUCGUACAGAUAUUAAUUAUGACACAUAUAUGCGAUGCAAAAUGACAAAAAGAGAUGACCAAUUAAGAUAUUAAAAUUAUAUAUUACAUAAUACAUGGUGUGAAUAUGAUUACAUUCAUUCAAGUUUGAUGCCAGAAGUCUUGACUUGCCCACAUGUUAUAAAUUAAGAAUGGUCCUUUCCUGAUCUUUGAUCUGUUCCUUUUUUUGUUUCUCUCAUAAAAUUUUCACGCAAAAUGAUUUCACUGUAAAACUGAGAACAAAACUUGUCAUGAUUCACAACUUUUUUCUUCAUCGUGAAAAUUUUAACUCAAUUGCAUUAAUAAGUUAAAUACAAAAAUCGUUUAACUGUAGGGAAACAACAAAAAAAAAAAAAAUGGAUCUUCUUUAGACACAUCCAACUAUACAUACAUUGGAUCCAAAAGCAGAAUCUUUUGAUUUGCCACUUAUCUAUGUUAUUUUUUAGUUAUAGGAUUUACAAUUUAUAUUUUAUGUUUAAGGAUGUGUUGUACAUUGCACAACAAAUUUUCUGUUUUAGUUUUGUUUAUUACAUACAUGUAAAAGUUAAGUUCUCUAGACUGUUGGUUUCUGAGGUAUGUAUUAAUCCGAUCCAUAAAAAGAGUGAUAAUUCAGCAACAUUAUUUGACGAACAAAAGAAAAUUCAGCAACGUUAUUUUUUGGGAGAUAAACACACUUUUAUUGCUGAAUUUUAGAUAGAACAAGCAUAUUUGUUAGCAUACUAAUUAUAGGGAAGAUGAGUAAGAUGUGAGGGCGUUGAGCUAAAUCAAAAAUCAAAAAUAGAAACUUGAAAAGAUAGUGAAGAAAAGAGGAGCUAUAGAAUGGAUUCCAUCUUUUGUGCAUGCACUGCCCCACAGGGAAAUUGGAAGGAGACAAGUGAUCAAUCACACGUCUCUUUCAGUGACUAACUUUUUUGCAUUCUUCACUUUCCUUAGAUUUCCUACUUCUACACACAUAUUGGGCUUACUUACAAUUUCAUUUGAUUAAAGUUUUGCUCUCAAUGUUAGAACUAAUAUAUAAAUAGAUUAAUGAAAGUCCUCAAUUUCUUUAGUUGAUAACAAAAAAAAAACAUGAAUAACUCAUUCUAUUUGUGGAAGCCCCCUUGGCCCAUUGGUUGAUCAAGGGUUAAUUAAUGCUUCUACAUCUAGAGGUCUGGGGUUCGAGUCCCAGAUACUGCGAUUUAUUAAUAUAUUUGCAGAUUAUUAGAGGCAAGUAUGCAUGAGAUCUCCAGCGAUGUACAAUUAUAGCCGUUCGCCAGGAUUCUACGCAGAGAGUGAAGUGUCCAUUAAGAGCAGGAAGAAGGAGGUGAAAUAGGUGAUCAUGAAAAAGGAGGUGAAAGAGGUGAUGUCUGUCGUGGAUCUAAUAAAGGUCGGAAGGAAUUGUCAGUUGUAGAAUCGUCUAUGUAACAGUUCUCAUAAUUUGCAAUAAAUAAUAAAUCUAGAAGAAAAAAGAAAAAAAAACUCUUUCUAUUUAAUAUGCUUUGUAAACAUUUAUUUUUAACACUGUACGCUAGUCUAAUUCCAAAAUCUGCAAUAACAAAAUCUCUGAUCGAUUCAUAUCUAAUUUAAAAAAAUUAUUGAUACUUUAUUUUGUUAAAAUUAUUGAUACGUUAUUUUGUAAUCUAAGAAAGUUUAACCAUGCACAAUGAACAAUUAUCCUCAAGUUUUUAUUUAUGUAUCCAUUUUUAUCAAUACAAAAUCUCAUCAUAAAAAAAAAAAAAAAAAUUUAGCAAAUCUCAUCGCAUUGGCAUUAAGAUAGAAAUGUGAAUAUUUUUUUUGAAUAUUUCCAUAUUUUGACUUGAAGCAUACUAAACCAGAGAUGUAACUGAAAAUUUUAGAGUAAGAUUUGUAUAUAAUAAGGUUAAUUGUAUAUUAUAGAAGAUUAGUUGUAUAUAAUAAAUAAGGUAAUCGUGGACUAGAAAUUUUGAUAAGAUAUCUCUGUCUGCAUCUUAAAAAAGGUGACUGAAAUUAAAUUAUGUUUAUUGAAGAAAAGGUUGGGGACUAUGACUGUGAGAGAUGGGACGGUUGCCAAAAAAGGGAAGAGAGCUAAUAAGAAAUUAGGGUUUAGUCAGGUUUCCAUGCUCGUAUAACUUCAUUACUCCGACUCUUUAAAGCUUUGCCUUUACCCUCUCCUCUAGCUAUCUAUCUAUUUAAUACCACCAUUAUUCAUACAUCCACUACUUUUACGUACACUUAAAUAUAUAAUCAUUUUUAUAUUUGUCAUGUAUAUCUCAAAAUAUGCCUUUUUUCUUGUCGUGUACUAAAUUAUUUUGUGCCUAAUUAGCAUGGCUUAGUCGAGUUAAUAUUUAAUGAUAACUAAUUCAUUAGCUACCGGUUAUGAUGAGACGAGCGUUUAGAUUUUUAUUUAUUUGAAUGCACCUAUCAUGGUUUUUGUUUUGGGUAUUAUAUGAUAUGAUAGUUUCGGUGUUCCAAAUUCAGAAUGUGGAAAUGUGUAAUCUAUCACAAAGUAAUUGACCGUUAUAGUGUUUUGUGGGUACAAAAUUAAUAAUGGACAUCAGGACAUAUGUAAUUUGAGCGUGGAAGAGAGGAUCAAUGGAUCAUGAGUAUAUUUGCAAGUCGUUUAGAUUGUUCCUAACGUACUUACGGUAUUUAGUUAAAAGACAAUAUAUAUAUAUAUAUAUAUAUAUAUAUAUAUAUAUAUAAUUCACCAACAAACAAAAUAGAUUACUGUAUGAUCGUUACUAAAUUAAAUCAUUUAUUUUUUAGAGCAACACAGAAUUUUUUACUAGGCUUUAGAUCGUGAAAUCAUCAACUUCACGAUCUAAUCAUCAACUUUAGAUCAUUAACAUCCUCCAUAAUCUCCAAGUAGUCCCACCGUCUAUCAUUUUCAAGGCUUUAGAUCGUGAAAUCAUCAACUCUAUCUACGCAAGGAGGCAUCGAAGGAAAUUCAGGAAAUUAAGGAGUCUUUGGCUCUGAUUUGAACUUCACCAAGUUAAAGAGAUUAGUUGUUUGCUUCCUUGUUUUUUAUUUUCUUUUUGCCAAAGAACCAAAAGUUAGGUAAUCAACAUGUAAAUCCAAACUUUUUUUAUUUUAUAUGAUAUUAACAAUUUAGCAAAAAAAAAAAAAAAAAAUUUCUUACUAGUGACUAGUUAUGUUCAUAAUGUAUAAUAAUUCAAUACUCUCUCUCAACUCUCAAGAAUACAAAUAAAUAUAAAGUAUUAAAUCAAUAUAUAAUUUACAUAGAGGCUUGAAAACAUUUUAUAAUAUAAACAAAAAAUCUCUAAAACAUCUUAUAUUAUGAAACGGAGGAGCCGUAAUAUUUGUUAUAACCGAGUCUGCUAAAUAAACAUUAUCAUUUUCCGUUUUUAUUGGUUAUAUAAAACUGUAGCACAUCAAAAAAAUCUCAAUUUUACAGAUAAGUGGAAUGCAACAUUUGUAAACUUCCUUGAGAGAUCUUUAUUCUUUACCUAAUUAGAAAAACAAGAAAUUCUAUAAUUUGAAAAAAAGAAAAAGUCAAAAGGAAAGUUCACCAAACCCACUUGAGUUUAAUAGAAACACACAAAGCUAAGAAGCAUCACAGUUCACAUCAAACGUAAAGAGGUCUCUACUCAUUCGCAGCUUCUACUCUUCCUUUUUCGGAAACCCUAUCGCUCUCUUUCCGAUUUGACUUGUCUUUAUUAUUAUUAGUUGUUGUUCCUAAUUAAUCACUUUCUCUUAUGUGUUUUCAAUAUAGCACUAGACAACAUAGCCUUUAGUUGAUCUUUCUCGUGCCAAUUUUGAUUCUCUUAUUCUAAAUUACUUCAUCUUCCGCUUCCAUUUAACGUUUUCCUUUAUGAAUUUCUUUUUGACUAACUUUUCUUGUCGACAGUUGUCGUCUCUUUCUCCUAUAUACUAAAUUUUUCAUUCCUUCAACGUUGUUGUGUAGGUAGUUUCUUCUAUCUAUUUGAAAGAUAAGUAAGAAAGCACCAAUAUUUCCUAACCUCCAUCGGUUGCCAUAAAUUUGAUUAUGCCCAAAUGAAAUCUGAAAAAAUAAUGUCUAUAUAUAGGUAAAAUGAAAUCUAAAAUUUCAUACAAAAAAAAUGAAAUCUAAAAACAAAUUGAGUGUCACAUGUUCUUGAUGACUGCUCUUAUGUCUUAUCUGAUUCCUUGCACAAUAGUCCUUUCUUCUCAAUUUGCAUCACAAUAUAAUAUCUUCAUUACACAUUUUGUUUUCCACCCUUCAAUUUGCAACAGUAUAUACAAUUUUUGUUUUGUUUUGUUUAAUAAAUAAAAUAAAAUAACAGUGUUUUGUAUGAUUGUAAUGUAACCCACUUUCAAACUACAAAAUUAAAAGAAGCAAGCCAUCGACUCACAUCUUCAUCAAAAGCAAAAUUCACGCUUCUCACAUUCUCUUUGUAUUCAUGAUUCCAUGCAUCGAUCUCAUAAAAAGGCAACUACGAAUUGUGGAGAAGGACAUCUGUCUUCGAUCCCUUAUUAUACAUCAAAUACUUAAAAAACAAAACAUAUCAUCCAUGAAAUAAGUUGCACUACCUCUUUUUCUACUUCUUUUUUUCCUUAUUUUAGUACCAUCUAGAUUCAGAUCAGGUUCUUGGCAAAAAUAUGAUUUAAGGCUUAAAAGAAUACAAAAUCGCGAUAAAAUCCACCAACAGUUUUUCCUCUACAGUAUGAUCGAUAAUGAGUUUGGAUUUGGUGUGUUGUGCAAAGAUGUUUUAAGUAAAGUGUUUUGCCCCUGAUGACUUUUAGAACCAAAAUGAUGACAAAACUGCAGAUUUAAAAACUACGAAAAAACUUUUAAAAUGAACUGAAUUUACUAGGGUAAAACAAAUAAACUUAGUUUUAACAUCAUUUUUAUGUACAUAUGUUCUUAAUACCAUGCUACAAAUCAUAUACUAAUCGUCCAUUUUGACCCUUUUUUCUUCAUCAUUGCAUCGCAUAGCCUUGCCGCGUCUACAUUAUCUCUAACAUUAUGAACUCUAAUGAUAGUAGCACCUUUUAAUAUCCCUGCAGUAACACAAGCAACAGUUGCAGGAUCUCUUUCACUUGCCUCAGGACGACCACAAAUAUCUCCCAAAAAUCUUUUCCUUGAGGGUCCUAUAAGUAUAGGUGCAUGAGACAAACCUAUACUCUUCUUACCCAUCUCUUCCCUGAUUUUUGGUAGCUCCAUGACAAUUUCUAAAUUAUGAGCUAUUCCCUUAGAAAAUCCAAUUCCUGGAUCAAUCAUAAUCCUCCAAGCUGGAAUCCCAGAGAGUUCUGCCUCUCUUACUCUCUCAUAAAGCUCCGAAGCAACAUCUUUGCAUAUAUCAUUAUACUCCAAAUUCUCUUUGUUUUGCAUUGUACAUGGAUCUCCUCUCAUGUGCAUGAUCAUAUAAGGAACAUCAGAAUCCGCAAUAACCAUAUGCAUGUUCGGGUCUAAACUUCCUCCAGAGACAUCAUUCAAAAUGUCAGCUCCAUUUCUUAUUGCUUCUAAAGCAACCUCAGAGUUAAAAGUGUCCACUGAUAUGAGCUUUCCUUUCAUCUCAGCCAUACCUCGAACAACUUUUAAAACCGGAAUUAGUCUAUCUAUCUCUUCUUGAGUAGAAAUUCUUGAGGCCAUUGGCCGCGUUGACUGUGCACCGAUAUCAAUAAUAUCGACACCUUCAGAGAUCAUCAAGCGGACUUGAGAAACCGCUGAAUCUAUAGAUUGAAACUUACCUCCAUCACUAAAGCUAUCAGGAGUAAGAUUAAGUAUACCCAUCACAUAAGUUUUCUUAGAAAAAUCCCAUAAAUCAUCUCCUAUUGGUACAACCCUUUGUAUACCGCCUUUUGCAAGCAAUGAUUCACCACCUAACCGCUCCCACGCUUGAAAAACUCCACCUGGAUGGAUUGAGAGUGAAUGCCAAUAUGAAACUAUAUGAUCAUUAUCAAUAUCUUCUGUUCCAAGCAAAUCUACCAAAGGUGCUAAUACAAAUGGUCUUUCCCAGAUUCUCUCAUGGGGAAUGAUGAGUUUAUCAGAAGUUAUUCUAUGCUUCCCAUAGAACAAUAUGUCCAAGUCAAGUGGUCUUGGUCCAUACCUUAAACCAUUCUCUUUACGACCCAUCUCUUUCUCAAUUUUCUUGAGAAUGUUCAAGAGUUCAUGAGGUUCGUGCUUUGUGGUACCUCUUAUUGCAGCAUUGAGAAAUCUUGGUUGGUUGGUCACAUGAACAGGUUCUGUUUCGUACAAACAACUAUGUCUUAUUACACAGAUCCCAUAGUCUUUCAUCAAUCGUAAAGCUUCUCUAAAAUUAUUCAUUCUGUUUCCAACAUUGCUUCCUAAAGCAAUCACUACUUCUUCUAAAGUUGUUGUUUCCAAAGAUGCGAAAUCUGAGUCAUAUACAAAAUAUGUUUCGAAGGUGAAAUAGGAUUCAAAAAAUUUAUACUUUUCUAAAUAAUUACUUAAACAUAGAUAGUGUAUCAAUAAUCAAAACGUAAACAAUGAAAAUGAAACGGAUGAAGAAGAUACGAACCCAUUUUAGAUUAUUAUAUUCUGUUCCGGCCCAAAUAACACUAUUAUUUGCUUCGAUCUGACCUGAAAGUAUACAAAACUAUGAGUUUAGUCCUUCUUUUUUUGUGUGCAAAAACUAUGAGUUUAGUCUUAGAUUAAAAAAAAAAACAAUUAUCAGAAACACAAAAUGGGUUCUAAUAUUUUAAGAAGAACCAAAGAAGUAAACAAUACUUUUUUAUGAGAGAGAUAAGAUGGUAGCCAAUUUUCACAUACUUUUUCUCUGAACUAGUUUUGUUAUUCGAGUACCUUGUGUCUUUCACGCUCGUCAAAAAUCAGCUUCUUUCGAAUUAGAUAUGAAGGUUUAGAAAAAAAAAGACAAAAAAGAGAAGAAAACUUUGUUAAAGAGAUUUUGAAAUUGGUAGUGAAUCUCUCAUAGUUGGGGUGAUGUAAAAAAGAGGGAUGUUACCAAUUAAAUACCAGUUCAUCUCCAUAGUAAACAAUUAUGAUCAGUUCAAUCUAACAAUGAAGAUUGAUGAAUUUGCUUAUUCCUCAUUUAUUUACAUUUUACUAUCUUUAGAUAAGUGUAAUAAUCUUUUACCAAGUGCACUCUUUCUAUUUGAUAAUGUGUAAUAAUCUUUUACCAAGUGCACUCUUUCUAUUUGACAAGUGUCAUACGUUGAUAUUUUAAUUAUUAUUUUUGUCUUUUUUAUAUGAUUUAUUCUGUAUUAUGACUUGAUAAUUGAUCAUAUCAUCUAAUUAACUCUUAUUGUUCAAAAAGUUUCUAUUUAAAAUUUCCUACUUUGAUAUUUUAAUAUCUCUUCUUAUCUCUUUCAUAUGAUUUUUUUCUAUUUAAUGACUUGAUAUAAUCUAAAUAUAUUUAGUUUUCCCACAUCUAAAUGUAUUUAGUUUUCCUAUUUUUCUAUAGUUGUUUUCUUAUAUCAAUUUUGUAUUCAGAAAAUUUUCUUUUCAUUAAUUUUAUUAUCUAUUCCAUUUUUUUUACUAUUUAAAUAUAUAUUUGGAUAGAUGAUGGAAAAAUGUGUGUUACAGUCCAAUUAUUUAAUUUCCACCUUUAAAACCACAUCAUUUUUUUGUUCGUCAACCACAUCAAAUUUUUCAUUUAUAAAGUUUAUUGAAUUUUUUUGUGACUACAUCAAUAUUCUUGCAUACCAAAUUACCGAUAGUCGAUUCAACUGUUCUGUUUUUUUUUUUUGUUAUCAUAACUCGAAACAAUAUUAUUUUCAUUUAUUUAGCAAAAAAAUAGCCGUUUUACUUUUACCAUAACAUUAUUCUUCUCGUGUUAGAAUUUGUAUUAAGUUUCUCAUCACACCAGAUGUAUAUGAUUUCAAUGAAUGGUAAGUUUUCGUGGCUUUGUUGGAAGCCAAUUAACUUCACAACGAACAAAAUUUAUCCUUGCAGUAAUUUUUAUAUAGCAAACGAUUUCACGAAAAACUACACAACAAUGCAAUUCUACCUACACUUAAAAAAAAUAUGUACUAUAGAAUAUAGAUUAUUCUAAAUGCACUAUGCUUACGGUAUAUAUAUAUUUUUUUAUGUAUCACUAAAAGUGUAAAACUAUCAUAUUUUUCUUACUGAUCACAAAGAAGAAAAAUGAGCCGUAAAUAAAUUUAGUAAAGAAGAGUAUGGACAUCUUGACGUUUUCACAUUUACAACAUAGAACGCGUGCCGUUUUGUUAAAGCGCUAAACCUCUCCCUCAUCCUCUCCCAGCUAGCUCUCCUCUUGCGGUUUCAGAGCUUAAACCCCAAUCUCCCUCAAACUCAUAAACUUAUUGCUCUCCUGUGUUGAUUUCUGGGUUUAGGCUUCUUUCGACUUUAUGGGUUUCGGAGCUUAGUUUCAGUACAAUUUCGUUUCGAAAAGAGCUCUUAUUUGAUGUCCAUGGCGUCUCUCUCCUUCACCCAAUUCUUAUCAUUUCCCAGGUCCCUUUGCUUCUAUCGCUCUUGUUUUCUUCCAUGGGUUUCUAUGGAUUUGGCGUAGAACUACUUUGCUGCCCAGAAAUGUGCGAAUGCUUUUCUUAUCUUUCUACAGAAGAAUGAGUAACAAUGAUUUGAAUUGAGUGCUUUUUUUCGCUGAUUUGUAUCCACUUUCUUGUUCAAUUUAGUGGAAAGCCAUGUUAUUUCUGUUUGAAAAUUCCACAUUUUGAUGUCAUGGUUUUCUCAUAGCUGUGCUUAAUUUUGGCAGAUGCAAUGCAGAUGUUCCUUGUCUGCUCCAGUCGCUGGGUUUUGUGAAGUUUAGAGGUGAAAGAUGGAAUGGGAAACAAAGCUUUCCUAUGGCUGCUGGUAGGAGAAAGCUAUCAGAGUCAGCCCCUCUUGAAGACGAAGGCAAUGAUGGAAACGGGGCGGUUGGGGGGAAGAAACCAUCGAAAAGUGUUAGGAGAGGUGGUGCUCGAACAACGAAGAAGAAGGUGGUAGCAACUGAUGAACCAUUAGAAGAAAGUUCUCAACUUUUGGUAGAUAGUGAUGGUGUUUUAGACAAGGAAAGCACUGUUUCAGCUUUGAAACCAAAGACAAGAACUAGAAAGAAAGGUAAUGACUUUACCAUUUCUGAGAUGAUUGGUCCUCACUUGAUGAUUCACUAGUGCAUAAUUUGAAUUCUACAUAUUUACAGCUGCAGCAGCUUCUUCUGAUGUGGAGGAAGUAAAAACCGAGAAGAAAGUGAGACGAAAGAGGACUGUUAAGAAAGAUAAAGAAAUGGAGGAUGAUUUAGCUACUAGUACUCAUGACGAGGUUAGUGAUGUCGAGGAAGCCUUGGCUGUUGAAAGCACUGAUACCGAGAGUGAAGAAGAAGAGAUUGAUCUGAGUAAACAUGACAGUGAAGAUAUUAGUCACACUUAUGGAUGGCCUCCUCUUGUGUGUUGCUUUGGAUCUGCACAACAUGCUUUUGUGCCCUCGGGAAGGCCAGCUAACAGGCUAUUAGAUUAUGAACUACACAAACGGAUGAGCGAUGCAAAGUGGGCCCCGGAGAAGUAUAUCCGGGCUCCUGGAGGAUGUGCAGGAGGUGUUGCUAUUGCUCUUGCAAGCUUGGGUGGUAAGGUUGCUUUUAUGGGCAAACUCGGGGAUGAUGACUAUGGUCAAGCCAUGUUGUAUUACCUGAAUGUGUGCAAAGUCCAAACUAGAUCAGUUAAGAUUGAUGGUAAAAGGGUUACGGCAUGUUCUACUAUGAAGAUCAGCAAGAGAGGUCGCUUGAAAUCGACUUGUAUCAAGCCCUGUGCAGAGGAUUCACUUUCAAAAUCUGAAAUCAACGUUGAUGUGCUCAAAGAGGUAAAUAUUGUCUUGGAGAUUUGGAACAUUGAGUUUUUUACUCUUUUUCUUGUUCACCAAUCUCUUAACUUUGAUGCAGGCGAAAUUGUUCUACUUCAGCACGCAUUCUCUACUCGAUAAGAAGAUGAUGUCGACUACGAUACAAGCCAUCAAGAUAUCAAAGCAACUAGGCACUGUCAUUUUUUAUGACUUGAAUCUCCCUUUACCACUAUGGCAGUCCAGCGAAGAAACCAAGUCUUUCAUACAGGAAGUGUGGGAUCUUGCAGACAUAAUUGAAAUCACAAAACAGGAACUUGAAUUCUUAUGCGGAAUCGAGCCAACUGAAGAGUUCGAUACAGAAAACAAUGACAUCAGUAAGUUUGUCCAUUAUCCGCCAGAAACUGUGGAACAGCUUUGGCAUGAAAAUCUCAAGGUCUUGUUUGUGACCAAUGGCACUUCUAAGAUCCAUUACUAUACCAAAGAGCACAAUGGUGCUGUUUCUGGAAUGGAGGAUGCUCCCAUUACUCCUUUUACAAGGGAUAUGUCAGCAUCUGGAGAUGGCAUCGUUGCAGGUACACUUUUCGCUGUCUUUUUUUUGUUUCUCAUAGCAAUUGGAAAGUUAUGCUGGUGUUAACUGAACUACAUUACUCUCUAUUUCAGGUCUAAUAAGAAUGCUUACGGUUCAGCCAGAUCUUAUGAACAAUAAAGGGUACCUGGAACGAACAGCAAGAUAUGCAAUUGAGUGUGGUGUUGUUGAUCAAUGGUUGCAGGCACAAACCCGAGGAUAUCCUCCAAAGGAUGACAUGGAAGAAGAAGAUGAUGAUGAAGAAGAUGAAGUGGAAUCAGAUCCAAACGGUAUAAGAUCGAUAACAGAGAGGGAAUACCAAACCUCAAAGCCUUAUGAUGAACCAGAUGGUCCAUACGUUAUGAAACCAGUAGAGGAAAGGGAAUACAAGAAGUUAGAGCUUGUUGGCUCAAUGUUUGAAGAUGGUAGUUUAUGAUUUUCAUAAGAACUGAUAUUAUUUCUGUUAGUCAGCUUUUUUCCCUGUUCGCAUCUUACAACAUCUUAGUAGUGUGAAUUUUUGUCAUAUGUUUUAAUAUCUAGACCAUUAUAUUAAACACAACCUAGUGUACACUAGUGAGCUUAGAGAAGAUAUGUCUAACGGGAUAGAGAAAUGAUCCAAAAACAGCAAUGUGAAACCCUUAGAGACAAUGAACUUCCUUUACUAGCAACUCUACUUCUACGUCUACUUAACUAAUCCAAGUAGAGAUUUAUCUUCUUGUGAUCUGUGAAAGGCAGUGUGAUUCUCAAGUCCUUUUGUUUCCGGCUUAACGGUCUGCCUUUGCUUUCGGGAUCUCUGUUCUCCUUCACAUCUGCUAAUUUCCAGACACAGUUAUCCGAUUCUGCAUCGAUAGACUCCAAGAGAAACACUGCAGUUUUCACUACUUUCCUUGAGUUGGUUUUCUCUACAUAGCUUACUGUCAUUGGCAUCUCCUUAAAUCGAGGCAAGUCCUCUGGAACUCUCAGCAGCCUCUCAGCUCCUGGAGAUGACACCUUUACAGAAAAAAACAACACGGACACAAGAUUUAGAACAAAUUGACCCUGAGUGGUCGUUGAUUCAUGGAGAAAGACUCUUUUUACCUCAAGGGCUAGAUCCUCUGGGAUUACUUUUUCAGCCCCAGCAUCAUCUAGUCUUUUCUUAAAUUCCCGACUAAAUUCCUCAAGCUUAUCCAUGGUAGGACAUCCAUAUCUUUGUACAAGGAAAAACAAGAAGCUUUCUUUAGUUUCUGAAACAUACUGCUUUCGCAAUGGUUUGAUAUAGAAGGGUGAAGAAUCUUACUCAUUUGAGAGUUUGUCUAGUCUGACAUAUAUAUAUCCACGAGGUGAAGUUUUGAAAGCAAACAAUUCCAACUCUUCCUCAGACUGUUUCAAAACUUCUGCAGCAAUAGAGAGAACUUUUUCACCCCAUGGCACAUCUCGAAGAACAAUUCCACCACCAUCUCCUCCAUCACCAAGCUGUAAAACAGAAGAAAGAUUAGCUUAAAAGAAUCGAAGAAUCAGAGUAGCGAAGUGAUGAGAAAAUGUAGGAGAACUAUACAUAAGAUUCAACUUCCUCAUCUUCUUCUUCUUCCCAAUCUUCUAUGACCUCAACAUCAUCAGUUGUUUUAUCUGCCAAUUGGAUUGGAAGCAAAUGUGUUAUGAGACCAACAGUAUCUUAUGACCUUUAGGAAAUACCAGCUUCUAUGGACAAGAAAAGACAGUUUCUAACUUAGAACAUACAAAAAGUGUGUUACAUGAGACCAAACGUUUCUGACUUGUCAGGAAACUCUUAAGGGGCAUUUACAUAACUCAACUGCGAAAACAUUAAAAUUCUAAGGUGAAGCAACCGUUUGGCUAAAAGUGAGCAACAUUAAAUUUUAUAAGCAGGAGACAUUUUAACAAACACCUUAUAGACACGAAAAAGACCUAAACAAAUUCUAAACCCAGAAGAUAGAGAGGCAGUCAAAGAAGACAAGGUUGAUUUAUUUUAUCUUACAUUCAAAAGUGUCUUCUUCGCCGCCAUUACUACCGGCGGAUUUUGGCGGUCGAACUGAAGGAGAAGGAGAAGAAGACGAAGAAGAAAACCUAGAGAUUGAAGAAGAGAAAGGAAAAUAGCGAGGAGGAGUCGUCUUUGGAAGUAGUAAGGAAGAAGAAAAUUGCCUAACGGAGAACCAAGUCGCCGGUGAGGUUAAACGGCGAGAAGCUCGAAACAAAGCAGAGAGACUUUGGUAUCUCACCAUGCUUCUUCGAAUUACCCACAGGACACGACUUGUAAUAAUAUUUAUUCAACCUAAGGAAUUCUAUUUAUACGAGUGUUAUAAAAUCCGUUUCUUACAUUCAAUCUUCUAGCAAUUGUGCUAAGAGGAUACAAAAUUGAUUGGUUUUUAAAAAAACGUUUAGGAAAAAUAAAGAUGUACUUGUCGAGCCAACCUAUACUAUACUAAUACAAGAGUAGCAACAGAUAUGAACAUAGAAAUACUUAGAGGCGGAGAAUAGUGCGAAGAGUAUCGCAUAGAUUUUGAAUGGUUUGCUGCUCCUGCGUUGCUUGCAAUUCCUGCAGCGGCAUUUCCUCGUAACACCUGCAAUCAGCAGAAUGGGUUUUUAGGUUUCUAGUCCUGACAUUUAAACAAAACAAAAACAUUUGCUAUUAUCUCCCACGUACGCUCUGUGGUAUGCUAAAACUUGUGCAAGGUUCAUUAGAGAAGAGCUUGUAGUCAGUCUUUGGUAUACGCUUGGAGGAAGAGGCAUCUGCAGAAUAUAUUUCAUACCCCCACAGAUUAUUAUAAAAUUAUGAUUCAUUCACGUUAUAUAGAGUUCAGAGAGAGAGAGAGAGAGAGAGAGAGAGAGAGAGAGAGUUUCGACCUCGUUUUGUCCACGUCGACCCUUUUUGGAUUGGGGAUCAGAAGUGAAGAGCUCCUGAAGUGCUUCAACGGCUACAGUUCCAUUCCCAUCUUGUUGCAUGCCUCCGAUCAUGUUCUCUGACAAGAGUGCAAUUGGGGAUAUAUCUGUUGCUCUCAAGAAUGGUAUUGGUACUGUGUUUCCAGCUGCGUAGAUUGACCAUAACUGCAGGAAAGUAGACACAUUUUAACCCAAACACGCCAUUGACUAGACUGUCGCACAGACACAGCACAAAACUAACUAACCUUAUCUUGCAAAGCAAAAGCUUUCCUGCCAACAGUUUCAUUUUUCAAGGUACUACCACUUGCAUCACUGCCACCUUCAAUCUGUGUUCCAGCUAUGUUAUUUAGCUUGGUUCUAUGCUCAUGAGACGAACUGGCCUGGAUGCUCUGUGAAGUCGAAGCUUCAAUUGGAAGAUCGAUACCCGGAGGAUUCUUUUUGUCAUGUAUCCUAGAAACCAAUAUCAGGUUAAAUUAUGCUCAAGAAGCAAGUUCAUCAUCAGAUCCUGAUUGUUAUAUAUCCAUGUAACUUUCUUUUCAAUAAAUUGGAUGAUCUGAAGGAAAAUUUAAGCGCCUAUUUAUGUAAGUAGAUAUGCCCCCGAUAAAGUAAAAAAAAAAGGAUUACAAAGAUAAAAUACCAUGAGUCAGGUAAUUCUUCUCCGGAGACUUCGCGAGAAACACCUUCAACCUGAGAAGAUGAAGAUUCUUCUUUCUCUUUGACAAGUUGAGACCUGGAGUCACUCUCCUCUGCCUCAUCCUCACCAUGAACGAUCAUAGUUCCAAAGUCACCACCUGAUCACAUGAACCAGUGGAAACAUUAAGUUACAUGCUUUUGAAACCAUGAAGGGAGAAAACUCACAACAGCUUGGAUGCUAAAAAAGCUGCUGAAUAAAUCAUCAAAACAUCAUCCCCUAGAGUUUACUAUACAUCUCCAAGAAAAUGCACUCAACAAUUCUCAUGAUGGUUCGGAAAUGCAGAUUGCCAACUUGUAAAUUACUACAUAACAGGCUGAGGUUCACAGCACAUGUUUAGAGAAGCAUACUGAUUAGUCAACAACAACACACCAUUUGGUUGAAUUCCUUAUGUGGAAGUAUGCAAUAUGGACAUAGAUACGCAUGCAUAUAAUACUUGCCUUCUCCAGCCAACACAGUGUUGCCAGUUAUAUGCUGCCGAUUCAGGGUGCCAGUUAGAGGUGCUUCGGUGGAAUUUUGAGGAGGUUUAGCUGGAACAGUAAUUCCUACCUCUUCAUUUGAUUUUGGACCCAGUGUUGACUGUUACAAGAUUAGAUAUUAGGAAAGAAGAUGGGGGUAACUAAGAGAGGGGUAACCGUUUCAGAAAAACAAUACAUACAGUGUCCUCCGAAGAAGGUGCGACAACACUUUGCGCUUGCAAAGCCAUUACAGCUCUGAUUUGUCUGGACUUCUCAAUCUUUGGCGACAUUGCGGAAGCCCCAGUUUUACAUCUCUCAACAAAUUUGUGCUGAAUUUAAAACCAAAGAGUAAAUGGCAUCAGCAGAACACAGAGAACUUAAACACUAAAUUGCAUGCCAGUUAUGAAAUUGAUGGUAAUUCUGACAACUAAAGCUGAAGACAUCCUAAUAUUGACAAGACAGAGUCACAGUUAGCUGAAAAGAAAGAAAAAUGGAAGGAAAAAAGAGCGCAUUGAGAUACACAUACUAACGAUCUCUGGCGAACAGGCAAAAGACUAUCAUAGUUUACCUUAAGCAUCUCAGCUGCAGUUGGGCGAAGACGUGGUUCCUUUGUAAGGCACUUUGCAACAAAAUCAUGAAAGACCAGGGACCUGCAGAAAGUAGCAACCAACAGUCGAAUGUUGCAUAAGAUAUUGCCAAGACCUCUUUAACGAGAAUUGCAUUACUAUGAUUCAGAGCGCUUGUAGGUCAAUGCUUUUGUAUAAAAGUAUGCUGCUAACCACAUAUAUAAGUUUUCUUUGCCAAUGCUAGAAAAAUUAUUAGACCCAUGAGAAAAAUCGUUCUGAAGCUAAUAAUAGACCAUCAAUCGAUAAAGCACUGUAUAUAUUGUGGAUAUGCAAUUACUACAGCACCUGUGGACCCAUACGUCUAUGAAGCGACUACAAGGAACUAUACUUUUCACAAUAUAAGGUGCUGAUUGCGCUUGGAUGAUUUGGAAAAUUCUCUUCUGCCUUAAUGAUAAUCGUCGUGACAAUUCUAAAGAGGUUGAAGACAUACCAUUUUUCUUUAUCCUCGAGCAUUGGAGCUGGCUCGAUGGAUAUCAUGAAUAAAACCUAACAAAGACAGAUGUUUGAAAUGAGAUAUUAAAUAACGACAAUAGCAUGAUAAGAUUAGUGGCCAUCAAGUAAGCAAACAAGCAAAAGUUUCUCUCUCUUACGUAGUAUUCAACACUAACCAAUCAAGAGAAGGCCUUUUAAGAGUAUUUCAAGACCUCCAUUUUCUAGCCUAAUAACUCUCAUGUUUAUGAAAAAUUUCAUACCAGGUCUAUACAAAUUUCAUUCCAUUUCAAUUUAUAGGACAAACUUAACAACAGCAAGCUGCUUUGAGAUUGGUUUAUAACAGACCUAACCAAACCACUUACAACCAAAGUUAAUAAAUGGUUCGAGCCAACCACAUUUACAGAAACUCUUGAAACGAAGCCAAACUCGCACUGAUGUGCAACAAAUUGUUUUAGGUUUGGCUUCAAGUCAUUCCUUUCAAUUUUCCAAGCAGAGAAAAAAAACAAAACCAUUAAAAAGGGCGAGACUGUAUAGUUUGCCCAUCCUAAACUCAGCAAGGUAUCUGAUCACUUGGAAACAUAAUUAAAAAGCAAGAUGGCUUAAUAUAAAUAUACCAACCCUCAUCGGAUGAACUGCUGAUCUUGGAGGAAGCCCCUGUAAACAACACAACCAAAAGUCAGAAGAAAACCACAGAAUUAUUAAGAAUAAAAUAAGGAAGAAGCGAGUUAAGUGACAAGGGGUCAAAAGUGUUAAUCAAAAUGUACAAUUUUCUUCUUUUUUCCACAACAUGUCAGGCGAGACUCAGUACAGCUAACAGGACAAUCAGCUCUCAAAACAGUCACUAACUUAGCUUGCUUGCACAAUUGUCGGAUAAAAAGUACUAAACUGUCACCUAAGAGAAGUAGUCCCAUAUUACCUCUGCCAUCUCGAUAGCUGAAACACCAAGAGCCCAUACAUCCACCUGUAUUAAAGAGUCAAAAUGUCAUCAAGUUGUAAACAGGAAAAUCCUUAAUUCUACUCUCUAGAAAACUUCGCAGUCUUAGUUUCUAACUGGCUUAUGUACCAGAUUCUAAUUUCCUCUAAAAGUAGCAUCCUGUGAACUGGUAUGCAAACCCAUUUUUAGUAAAACCUUAAUUACUUUCUUCAAGAGAUAUAAUAUUAGAUUUAGUAGACGUGAAAAUUUAAACUCCAGCAAUUAACAUUUAGAUAUGAAAGGGACCACUAAAUCAGUCCAUAAAAUGUGAAGUUUUUUAAAUUAAUCGAAAAACUUGAAGGAGUUUAUCAGACAAUUUACUGUCAAAUAGGACACCUACCUUCCCAUCAUAACGAUUUUCCUGAAUAACCUCCGGGGCCAUCCAAUGUGGAGUCCCAAUGAACUUCAAACAAGACAAAACAUUAAAGAAUCCACCAUCAGGCGCAGAAAGUCUCUAAGGCUUUAAUAGCCCGACUGAUCAAAGAAAGCUUGAAGCAUUAACCAUAGGAACUUUAUUCAAAUAUGUAUUUACCGUGUUUCGCUUCGACAUAGUCCGCGUAAGUUGAGCUGCAACCCCAAAAUCACCUGAAAAGAUAAGGUAGCGAACUUUGGAAUCAGCAUGCAGCUGUAAAGCAAUAAAUAAAAAUUCUAAUUAAAAACCGAUAAGGCUAAGGAAGAUUCUAAGCUUUAAAACAUAAAAGCCUGCAUGUGUAAUAAAAAUAACAUAAGUAAAGGCAACUCUUCAAACAGGUGGUUAUAUAAUUCCCCAAGCUAACUUACCCAACUUGACCUCUCCUUGUUCAGUUAACAAGAUAUUACCACCUUUAAUGUCUCUAUGGACUUUAUAUAUUGAGUGCAAGUAUGCAAGGCCCUACAAAAUAGAUACAAACAGAAGUAUAAGGCCUAAAACAUGUUGAAGCAAAUGAGCGCAAGCAAAGACGGAACCAUCAAAUACAGGAGAGCAGACAUCAUUUUUCUUCUUCAUGCUUCUAGCCAUUCUAUAAAGUGAAAAAGGUACAGACAAUUGUGUGCAUACCUUCAACGCCUCCCGGCAUAUAUAUGCUAUCUGAUACUCCUCCAACGCCUCCUCGGUAACAUUCAUAAGAUCAGCAACACUUCCACCUCCACAAUACUCCAUCACUAUCUGUCAGAAGACAUAAAUUAAUAACUAGAGAGAGCGAAUACAUAAACUAUAAUAUAUAAACGAAGAAAAAAAAACUGAUUCCAAAUAGUAAGAGCUCCUAUAUACAACAAAGAUAACCAAGCUGAGGCCCAGAUGCUCACCCAAAGAUAAUCUUCUCCUUGGUAACUCCCAAGGUAGCGGACAACAUUUGGAUGGUUACACUGCUGCAGCAUCUCAAUUUCUCCCCGGAUCUCUUCAUAUCCCUCCUCCUGAUAAAAGUAGAACUUGAAUCACAUAGAGUGCUUUAGCAACUAUGACAUUUUAACUUAUGCUGAGGACAAGCUUUUAAUACCCCUUCAGUAAGUGAUAUGACUUUAACAGCAACAAUCUCCGAUGUUUUCAAAUCUCUUGCCUUGUAUACAGAUCCAUAUGAUCCUUUCCCUGCCAAUCCAGAUGCCAGAUUUGAUAUAGUAAGCAAAAAUUGGAACAAGCACUGAGGGAUAUUGAUAGCUGAUCAUGAUCAUAGCAACAUAAUGGAGCAAAUCCGAUAGAGACAAACACCAAAUUAACUCUAUGAAGCUAGAUAUGCUAAUUUACCAAGUUCAUUGAGGAAUUCGUAUUUGGUGGUUGGAUCUUCUCUAGUAAUGCUAUCCGGAAGAGACGUAGUCGACAUCUUACUGUUCUGCUGCUGCAUUUUCCGAUUAUCUUCACCUUGAAGCUUCGAAGAAGAAGAGGAAGGAUCCAAUUUCCGAGUCUUACCACCAAAAUUUGAUUUCUGCAUACUCGCAACAGCUCUUCCCAUAGUUGACAUAUCAAUCUCCUUCUCUUUAUUCUUUCCCUUUUUAGACGAAGAUUUCACAACAAACGUACCGUACUCUCCGUCAUCAUCAUCAUCUUCUUCUUCUUCGUCUUCCUCAUCGGAAGAUUCCUCAUCUCCACCUCUCGCUCUCCUCCUAGGACUAACUCCCAUACGCGGUUUGGAAGAGUACGGACUGUUCUUACUAUGACUACUCCGAUCUGUUUUCACAAUCAUCGUGCCGAAAUCUCCGGUUUCGUCACCGUCGUCGUCGUCGUAAUCGAGCGACGCGCCGCCUCCGAAAUCUUUGGGAAGACGCUUGAGAAGAGGAGGAAGCAUAGAAUCGUCUUCAUCAUCUUCCUCUCCUUCUCCGUCACUAUCACCUUUGUAAACCAUUGUAGCGUAUAAAUCGACAUUUUCGUCUUCCUCAGGUUUGGCUUUACGUUUAUCUCGAUUUCGACCUUGAUCAGAAUCGGAGUCGGAGUGGACUACGAAAGUGGAGUAUAUGUCGGAUUUGGGCUCCGGUUUCCGGCUCCGACGAGAUCUCGGCGAGUUAUGAUCCAUCUAUGGCGGCUCUAACCGUCGUCGCCGGGAGAGAGAAAAAGAGAGUCAGGCAGACUACUUCUCGUCGUUAAAAUUAAUGAUGAACAAAAAAAUCAUUAAAAAAAAGGAAUGGGCCAACUAAAUUUUUUUGCAAGCUGGAAUAUUAAUUUAAUUCUAUGUUUGUCUAUGCACCCUCUAAACAUUAGUGUUUCUUGCAUAAUUAUUUGUUACAGUAAAUAUAUAUUGGUGUAAAAAAAUAAAUAAUGGUUAUAAAGUACGACAAAAAGUUGCAGAAGAUAGAGAAAAAAAAAGAUAACGGUAUAUUCCGUUGAAGAAAAAAAAAUGGUAUAUUCCGUUUUGACCUUACCGUUUUACCGAUUACCAAUUAAAGUGUUCAAUUGCGGAAAUGGGAUACAAGAUUGUUCUUAUUCGUUUUUCUUUAACAUUUAUUUGAGGUUUUUAUGAAUCGAAACGUGAAAAAAAUAGUAGAAAUCUAGAGAGAAUGUUAUUGUUUGAAAGACGAGAAUACAACAAUUGAAUCACAUAGAAAUUUAGAGAUUAUACAGAUUUUAUAUUCUGCUAGGGACCAAGAGGCAAGAGGUUCCACGAAAAUGAUACAAGGGUGACUUGGGAUAAAGAAGAUAGAGUGACCAAGUUUGCCUCAAAUAGCUAGUUGCUACCACCACCAAAGAGGUAAUUCAGAGACGAGCCACCUCCUGGAGCUGAGUGAACUUUGGUCGAUGGCCGGUCCUGCACAACAACCACAAGAUGUUUUCGUAACUGUACCAUAACUUUUAGACAUUUGAUUACUUUGUUAGCGCACAAAAAAACAAAACAAAGCUUCAUUGUCAGCCAACUAAUCUAAAAAAAGUAAGACGCAGAUUUUUUUGCUAUCCGAUAACCAGCACACAGAACCCGAUUCAUUGAAAGAAGGAGACAUACCGUAAUGAAGUUGCCUGUGUUCUGUCCUUCUGCACGCAUGUAAUUAUUUGUAGAGUUGCUAUUGAGACCAGCAGGAACUUGUUUGAUGCUAUCAACAGCCUUUGGAGCAGCAGUUUGAAGAGGUGGAGCAGGAGCAGAAGACUGGGUUUCGGCUGGAGCUUUGUUAACGGUUGAUGGCUUUGGAGCCUCUCCGCUCCCAAAAAGAUAUCCCAAAGAACUCUGCCCUCCACCGGCACUAACUCCACGACCCAUUCUAUCUCUCUUGCUUCUCUCAAAGAUUCUUUAGCUUUUGGGUUCAAAAAUAUGAUAAAAUCUUGAAUCAGAAUCAUAUUUUACACAAAAACAUUAUCCACUAAACGAUAUGAAACAACAAAAAAGAAUAGUGGAGUGAUCACUCAAUUAAUCAUAAUUUGUUUGUGAAAGCUUCUGUUAAAAAACAUUCACAUCUACAACGCAACAAAACCAAAAUAUGAAUUAAGACUUGAGAGUCAUUAACAACUUAUCAUCACCAAUAUAAUAACAUCAUUGAAAAGACUUGCCAGAUGAAUUUUGAACCACACUAUCUUCAUCUUACCCUAACAAAAGCAAUUGCUCAAUAACCUAGCUAGAGGCUAGAGUAUACAAACAUUCUUUCAUACAUCAAUCAAAUUCUGCAUAUCCGAACCUAUCCGUUGAUGCAAUGCUAUAUAUGAACACAACAUGUCAACAUACAGAGAAAAAAAACAACAAAUGAAAAAAACUUCUCAAACAAACACCUAAGUCGAGAAGGAAACAACACAAAACACCAAUCAAGUUUACCUGAUCAGCAAGGUGAUUUGAGAAGAAGCCAAGAAGAAGAGCCAAUGAGAGAUAACAAGAAGCCUGUGAAUUGUGAUAUAUAUAUACUAAAUAAAGGUGACGGAAAAUAGUAAGGUAAUGCUUAUCUGGCACGUCAUUAUCCAACAGAACAACAAUCACUGUAUAAGCCGGUGUCGUUUUGUAACUUUAAACCUUUUUCUAGUGUAAUCCAAAAAUUAACUUAGCUUUCUUCCUAAUCUUUUUGCAUUAGUGAUUCAAAACUUUUAUAAAGCAUUACUGUUUGAUAAAACUGUUACAAAUUAUAAAAAAACGGACCCAUUCUCAAAUGUGUUUUUGUUCAUAUCUCUCCAAAAAAAAAAAAAACAAAUCCGACAAUCUCUAACUUUAUGUUUACAGGAUCCUAUGUCCGGUUCGGUUUACAUAACCGGUAACAUUGAUCAAGAAGAUUUCUUGGGAGGUAAUUGAGAAAUCUCGACGAGUAUUCGGUUCAAAGACUGAGGACGAGAGAAGAAUGGUGCAUGAUCAGAGCCCUUGAGAUUGAAAACUUGUUCAGGAGGAUUCGAUUUGAUCAUUGCAUCUUGUAGAGAAACCGGUACAGCGUAAUCAUCCUCCAUGGUUUUGAUGUAGAACCGUCGGAUUGAACCGUAGUUUUUCUCCGACACGUGAAGCUUUUCGACCACUGGCGCGAACGGGAUCGGUCUCAUGGAUACCGACGCUAAUGCAACGUCCUGUACCAAAAAAAGACAAGUCGGGUUUAGUUAAACCGAAUUGUACCGGUUCAGCUAUUUAUUAGCCUUAUGUGUAGUGUACCUUUGGAGGGCUCUGAUUAAAGAAAAAGUCUCUAAGCAAAGAUCUGUCGAAAUCAACGGCUGUUGGAGGGUUCUUUUUUCCGUUGGCGUACAGAAAUAGAUGGACUUGUUCCAUCAGAUCAUAAUUUGAGUCAGGCUGCAAAUCAAAUGGUUGCAAUUAGAUUUUAAAAAUUUUUGGUGCUUAGUUAAUUUUAACAAGAUAUUGUGUAAAAUAAUUUGUUAUCUUAUCAUUUUGGCAAAUAAAUGCCAAAAUUAGGCUACUUAGUGCAUAAACUCUUUAAAAAAUAGAAACAAAUGUUUUGGAGAAAAAAGAAAAAGAAAAAACCUGUUGGUUAAAGAGAUCAAGAGUGCUUUGGGCAUUAGCCAACAUAGCAGCAGAGAUGAAGAUAGCCUUCGAGAUCUUAGAAGGGUACAUCUCCAUGGCAUAAGACAUACAAGCACCUCCAAAAUCAUGCCCCACUAAUAUCACCUGCUCACACCCAUCAAUUUAUAUCUUAAAUUUGUUAGUAAAUUACCAUUUUUAGUGUUAUUGAGACCAAAAAAAAAAAACAUUAUGAUAAGAUGAAAGUGAGACCUUCUCGGUGGGUUUAAGGGUGUCGAAGAAGUGGAGGAGGGGUUUGACGUAUUGAGAGAGGCUAGUGAUGUUGUUUGUAUCGAAAGAGCUGACACCAGAACCGGUCAAGUCAACGGCAUCGACUUGGAAACCAUGUUUCUCUAAGAGCGUUAUGGUUUUGUACCAACACCAUGCACCAAACCCUCCUCCAUGAACCAGGACGAACCGCUUCGUCUCCGCACCUUCCACCUUUAGCUCCUGCUUCCAUCCAUUUAUAUCAUAGUAUCAUAUAAUGAUUAAUGAGUCUCAAUAGCGAAUUUGGCUAAAACAAAUUAAAAGAUUAACACAAAUAUGUUUAUGUAAUCAUCCAUGUGUAACAAGUGAUUGUUCUCACAAAAACAUUUAACAAAAAUGUCGUUUUAUAUAUUUUUCAUUCAAUGUUUUUGGUUAUUCACUUCAAUUCCUCAAAUGAAUCUAUAGGAACUAGCCGGUUCAAUUUUUACCGGUUUGAACAGUUCGAUGAAUCUAGGGGUGUAUCAUGUAACGGAGCCAAAUAAAUGGACAAUAUAAAAGUACUUGCCUUGUCUAGGAGCUGAUUGGGUUUAAGAACAGGAUCGGUGCUUGAUCUCUGCCUAUUACUAGAACUUCUAACGUAUCCAUAAGUGGAUUUCUUAGGAGUCAAGGCGCCGGAAACAGAACCUACGGAGGCGGCUACAGCGGCAGGAGGUGGCUGAGUGUAAACGACGGAGGUGGAGCGUCGGAAAGGAGGAGCAGAGUUGCUGUUACGAGGCGUUUGACUAAAGAGGAUAUUAGUGGCGGCUAAGGUUUGUUCUUGGAUUAGAGAGUCUUUCUCGUGAUCAUGAUGAUGCUCUUGGUGGUGUCUUUCUCUGAUCUUUUUUUUUGUCUUGAUCCCUCCUUUCUUGGACGUAGACGAAGUUGAGGAUCCGGAGCAAGAGAGAGAUGGAAGUAAUGUCCGGCGUCGGAAAGAUGGUAUUAGAGACAGCCUCCGAACGUGUUUCUCCGAGCUAUUACCGUUGACGACGGAGCUAGGUUUCUUCUGGUUUGGAUCUUGUUCUUGCGAUAUGCAUCUUAAAGAGUUUCCCAUUUUUUUAAUUUUUGGUUUUUCUUGUAAUGUGUACAAGUUUGUGUGUAUGUGUUUUAUAUAUAUGUAGCAUGUUCGUGCUUGCAUGUGUAUUAUUUUGAUUUCUGAUGGGUGAAAAUGAAGAGUUGAGACUCUCACGUUGUGAAGCUGUACUUAAUGUAAAUCUGUUUGAUCGUGAUAGUUUUGACACACUUUUUUUACUUGAGACUCACGAAAACGCACAUAUGAGAAAAAUUGAUUUAAAAUUUUGAUUAUUCUAUCAUCAACUAAUGAUAAAAAAAUAAAACUAAUGAAAAUUGUUUGCCUAUACAGAUGGAGAUAGAAGAAAGAGGGAGGAACAUGGAAGGGCACUUUCUUUGAGCAUUUUGCUACUUUGACUUUCGAGUGCAGACUAUUUCUUUACAACGAUAAAACAUAUUUAUCCUCGUAUCUUUCUUGUUUAUAUAUAGAUCUUUUUCUUUUGUCAGUCCCUAGCCAUUGUGACCAACGACUACGACUAAAUGUUGUUUAUCCGAUAGCUACCAUCAAGCGAUACUUUUGGUUGCUAAUUUUUUUAGCGAUUUUCACUGAAUUUGGUGACUACAAAACAAAUAAUAUGGCGAUCACUGAAUCGGAUUUAUUCGGAUUCGGAUAAUUCGGGUAGGAGAGUUUAUUAUCCGUUCGGAUUUUGUGACUAUUCGGAUCGGGUUCGAUUCGGAUAGUGUCAGAUUCGGAUCGGUUUCGGUUCGGAUAGUGUCAGAUUCGGAUCGGUUUCGGUUCGGAUAGUGUCUUUUUCG